Long non-coding RNA from Gallus gallus (chicken), 538 nucleotides. RefSeq lists it as uncharacterized. The record is from RefSeq and is a predicted model, not a curated record. Lineage: Eukaryota; Metazoa; Chordata; Aves; Galliformes; Phasianidae. The transcript has 2 exons.
GGGGGACGGUGUGGGCGGGGCAUCGCGAGAGUAGGCGGGGCUGAGGUGAGGUUGGAGGGUGCUGGGGGGCCGCUGCACGCUGAGGGCGGGGUGGCCGUGCGCUCCUCCGAGGCUGCGGCCUUUCAGGGACUGCUGAGACCUAAGGGCAGCCCGGGCCGCACCAGAGACAGUGAGGCCGUGCGACGAGCAGCAGCGUUACAUGGGAGAUGCAGUGGAGAGCAGAGGGAAAGAGGCAGCUAUGUGGUGGUGUCCAGAACAGGCACACGAAAGCAGGAGGGCUGAAACGGGUGCUGUUCUGCCCGGCUUUUGAAAGAAAAGCAGAGGCAACACACGUAAACGGGAGCAACAGACAUCCAUAUGUAUCCACACGCAGCUGUGAUGAGGAAAAGUCAAAGAUACCUUUUGGACUAAGUUCUGGCUGCUGAAAGAGUUUAUCGUGUGUUUCAAAGGAGAAAUAUUAUGAACUUAUUACUGCUGUUAACCAGAAGCUCUUAUUUAAUAGGGAAUGAUGGAAUAAAAGAAUCAAGGUUUGCCUCAA